UCUAAUAUCUUCAUAUUUCAGAUCACUAUUAACACGCAAUAUAUCAUCAUUGCUAUAUGCUAUCAUAUCAUCACGUAUUCUUAAUUAUAUCGUGAUAGACAUUGUAUUUAUUCAAACGCGAUAAAAAAUUAUAUAUAAAUUUAAUUCUUUAAAAGACACUGUUGUGUAAGCGAUUAUAAAAGCUAUAUACAUCUGCUUUUUUUGUUUUAACGCGCAGGAUGUCCAUUUUAUUGAUUAGAGAAAAUAUGUCGGAAAUAAUAAUGUUAUAAAAAAUUGAAUCUGUCUCUCCGAGAGUAUGAUAUUCGGUAUGUCUUCAUAUCUAAUCUAAAUUCUUCUUGAUAGGUCAUGGGAAACGUUUCCAAAUCCUCGCGGACGAAUACAUUUUGCGUGGUCCACGCAAUUGCUUUUUAUUUUCAUGCGACUUAGGUCUAGAUCUGACCCGGACGUCGCACCGGUAUCCUGCGUCGAGGUGCCAAGAGACCGUUUAAACCGUCCUGUUUCGUGCUAGCCGUCGUGCUAGCCUCGACGGACGUCGCCUCGGAGGUCGGCUCGGUCUCACCGAAGGAAGUGACUUCUUCUUCGAGGGAUGCAUCCUCCUGGCUCGUCUGAGUUGCCGGCGUUGCCUCGGUUACUUUGCGUCGCGGUAGCAAUGGCGAUCUUCUGAUCGCUGGCGGCAACGGCGACUUUGUCGUUGUUUUCGGAUGCACUUGUAGCCGAUUACGGGUCCGCAAUUUGUUCAGGGGAUUCGGUGUGGUCGAGCGAGCUGGUGACAGACUGGUUUCCGCUGGUGCCUGAAAAAGGAAAAAAAUAUUAUUUGAAUGCCGUGGAUAGAGAGUAAACGUACCUCGUGUGUCUCCUCCUCGGUUCCCUCUCCGGCUGGUUCAUCGACUGCAGCUUCUGCAACUUCCGGCGCAAACGUCGUCGAAGUCGCCUGUCCCGGUUUCUGUCUUAAAUUGACUCUGCCAACUGGCUUGAUGACCGAAGGUCUGAUCACAGGCGCACCAGGAAGUCGCGUGCGCACAACACUCUUCGGGGUCCCUAUCGUAACUUCCGACGCAGUUUGGCCAACGACCUGAGCACUGACGUCGGGAUGCGGCGACUCUUGGGACUCCUCGUCUCCUGGCGAGCUCGUAGUCGGUCGUCCGCGUCUUCGAUUGAUGUUCAACUUGCUGAAGGUUGGUCGAGCCGCACCGGCACCGUUGGACGUCGCUGAAGAGCCGCUGUUCGUCGACGGUGCUGAUGUCGUCGAUGAUAUAGCGGUUUUGCCACCGGAAGGUGCACGGAACCUGCCGCGACCGGAUACUGGUUUCUCCGCGUUCACUGAGCUGGAGCUCUCCUUCUGUAUGGUGUCCUCUUCGAUUGGUUUGGAGCCUGGUCGAGGUCGCUUGAAUCCAUUACCAUUAGAACUACCACCUCCGAAACGUCCUCUGACUUUCUGGGUCGGUUCUGAUGCGGUAGCUUCGGUGCUCGUGCUAAUGCCACCGUUGGAUUUGAAGCUGACGACAGAGCAACGACAUGUGAAAGGACGAAUACAGACUUGGAUACUUGAAGGCGUAAAGAUCCAAAGCAACCUUGUCCAUGAUCGACGAAUAUUCCGUCGUUGGAUUAUCCGUAGUGUCACUGACAGUACCGGCAUAGUUCGUUUCGCUCGACGUUUUGUCUUCUACAGAGUGUUUGUUGUCGGAUCUCUCCAGGGCGACACUCUCUUUGUCGUCUUCCUCGUUGGGACGUGGCGGUUGACCUCUGGUCAGUUCAACUUCGGUCUAAAAAUUUAUUCAUCUUUAUAACUUGAAAAGAAGAUAUUGCUGCAGUGUUGCUCGGACGUCUUUUAAUAGCAGGUGCCGGUGUAUCGUCAAUCGUUUCUUCGACAGGAGCGGGCUCUUGAAUCCUGUGUGGUCUACCACGAUUUCUAAUUAAUAGUUUCUCAUCGUUAUCCUCAUUAGGGGUAACGCCCAAGAAUCUAACGGGCCCCUUUGGCAAAGUUUGUGGAAAUUCAGGACCCUCCUGAUGAGUUCGGAAGCUGCUGGAAUCAACCAGAUCCAGACCUGGUCGCGGUCGAUUAUUACGGGCUCGCGAGGAUUCUGUUGUGCCUGUGUUAUGGUUAGAUCGCGACCUAUUGACACAUAGAAAUUAGGCAGCCUUUCCUCGGAGACAACGUCUUCGCUCUCAACCAAUUGUCUACCUCUGUUGCCAUUUCUGUUUGGUAUGACCUCGUUGUUGCUGGGCUCCACGGUACUCGAUCUCUCUACGGUACCUUCAAUUUUAACGGAUCGGGGAGGCUGAUACGUUGUUACCGCAACAUGUUUUACUCGAUUCAAAUUGUCACCGGAUAUCUGCACGACAUCCGAAGGACUGUCAGCUAACGUGCACGCAACGACGCCAUAUAUUCUAUUGCCAAUUUUCUUUUUUUGCGAGAUGUAAAAUAUACGAAAAUGUCUAGUUUGACAAUAAAAGGAGCAAGGGUUAUAACAAGAUGUUCCAUAACUCAAUCUUACACUGAAGAUGGAGGGAUACUUCAUAUUGGAAUUUAUCGUGAAACCAUAUGGAGAAAGCGGUCUUGCUUACAAGCGUAUCUGCAUAAACAUACUGCAUACGUCUAUUGAUGAGAUUGCUGCCACGUCCCAGAUAAAUGAAGGAAAUAAAGGAUUAACGUCAUUGACAGGAGUACUCACAAAAGCACGCCUCUAAGCCACAUGUCUGCACUAGACACUGUUCUUUCUCCCUCGUUCUACUCGCCUCUGCUUCCGUGAAACAGCUGGUGUCAAGAACAAAAUUGUCCUCGACGUAUACGACUGUUGCUUACAACUCGCGGAUAUGCGACCAGAAGGGAAUCUGCGGUGAUCCUCCGUAGGCGUAUAGAUGUACACGUGUGACGACCGAUAUAUGUAUACGUGUGCACAUAGUAUAUCUACGAGACUUUCUCUCGACAAGGAGAGCACCCGUGCGCGCCCCUUGAGUAGAGGCAAGCACGCGAAACGCGGGAGAACAAUGUCUUUUUUUUCCUCCGAGUUAUUACACCACGAAUGGGGUGACAUAACUACGAGGUUCAAUCGUCGGAACAAGCUCUCUGCGCCUACGUAGACCAGCAUAACUCUCAAAUAUUGCAUUGUGCAUCAUGCGGAACGGGGAGAGUUCGUAAAACAAUAUUGGAAUCUCCAGAUCUGAUUUACGACGUAAGAAUAGCAAGAAGAAAUCAAACGUUUGAAGAUAAUUACCAUUCAUCGCGACGUGUACGAUAUCCGUUGCAACGACGGACCUUCUACGUGCAAGUCGAAGGCUAAAGGCGGGAAGGCCAUUGACACUGCGUGCCGUAAACACUCUUCUGAUGCAGCGUACACGUGAAAAUUGCCGUUGUCCAGUGGCCUUGUCGAAUAAUAAUUAUCCCUAUCUCUGUGCUGACAAAAUCGAGAUUGAGAUAGUAAUGUACAUCAUGCGUAAACGUAGAAGAAAGCCUGCAAAAUCUCAAGGAUGACUUCCUACAUUAGCGACACUUCCGCGUCUGGCAUUUGUCUGCUUAUGCUUUAUGGUCGACGAGGUAUAAAAAUGCGUUGAACGUUUGUACACUCGGCAUCCAUCAAUGGAAGUAUAGUAAAAGACAUGGAAGAAUGAACAUUUUUAAUAGCAUCGACGAUUGAAACGUCCCAAAAAGAAAAAAGAUUUAAAACGGAAUGUGUGGUUUUAUGAAUGAAUUCUUUCCAACAGAGUGAAGGACUCCCCGUUACUAGAGCUACUUUAAGACGGUUCUCGAUCGCCUGUUUCUUGAAGACCCGAGGUCAUUGGUACACAUACGCGUGCACUUUGUAACAGAGUCGAAAUCAUCGAUACGUACACUCGUAUGCUAGCGGGAAACGAGGAACCUUGACUGCACUUUCGCGGAACUUGCACUGCAUCCCAAUCGACCUUUAAAGGACCAACCAAUCGUUUUCCCAAUACUUUCGAAAGGCAGUUACAGCUCGAUAUACUCGACCAGAAUCCUUAGCGCCUCCGAGCGUAAAGACACCUUUAACACAAUUUUUCAGCUGUAAAGCUAGAAAGUUGACCUUUUUGAUCGCAAGCGAUUUACCGAAGAAACAUGAUCAAUCCAUGUAAAAGCAUCAUAAAAGAUGGCGAUCUGCCAGAGAAGUCAACAUUUCAAGUAACCGCACGUUUCGCAGCUGAACAUCAAACGAAACCGAUUAAACGUAAAAGGAUCACUGAAGUUGGCGAAUAGCCAAACAAGCUGUUACUGCCAAUGAGGUAGCAAUUUGCGGGAUCUUUCGAGAAUGCGAUAAAUCGAAGUGAAAUCCCGAACGUUGCAAAAUAUCUUCUCGCAUAUCUAAAAUUGAACACGGCUAAAGCUAUUCAAUGUUAAGGACGGGAUAGGACCGGAAUUUCUAAGACGAGGCGCAGAAUGACGAAAUUCGUGGCGCCUAAAGGAAUUUCAUGGAAAGUGCCUCCUACUCGCUUUUGUCGAGGGAGAUCGACCAGUCCAGGCGUUUUCCUUCCUCCAGCGUUCAUCCCAUCAGGUGGAACAUUGGCGCGUCCUCUCGAAGAUAAAAGACUUCCUAGCCCACUUGUUCGUUUCGUCGGUGCCGGUGUCACCGGUGCUGCUACUUCUUCUUCGUAAUCAUAUUCCUCUUCCUCGGCUGAUCUGACAGCUAUUACACAGAGAGCGAAUAUUCUGCAAAGAAUACGUUACUUUUGUGCAGGACACACGCAGGAUGGAAUCCCCAAGCGCAACUUUCGCCAGGAUCGAAAAAGGAAUCCGAGGACAAAAGGUCCUACUUCAUGCGUCGUGCAAUGCGAUUAUUACGUAUGCUCGGCGUGGCUCGGCACGACGUGUUUCUUCGCUUCGCGUGAUAGUAGAUCCGUGUACACCAGGUGGAUUUUGACCUGUGAUAUUCACGUACACGAGACUUACUUUCUCUGCUCGUGCAACUCGCACUGUUCGGGAUUGGCCGUGCCGUUACGACGGGACAUUCAUAUAUACGUGAGGCGGCUCACAAAUGUCAAGAAAACCAGCCAAACUCGAGGUCCCUGGGAAUAAAGCAAUUCAUCAUACCAGCCUGAUUGUGUCGCAUAUAGCGGGAUCACUGAACUUCGCCUUGGAAGGAAGCGAUUACAUUCGCAUUAUUUCACCUACAGGAUGUCGUUAACGUAAUGAUCCAACCGUGAUAGGUAUUAGCUUUAAUUCGUAUGGAAAUGCUAUGCUAAACGAUUCGGGAUAUAUUGUUGGGCUGCUGGACGUUAUAAAUCAAUAUACGCGCGUUCGCGAUCGAGAAUUAUCGGCUCACAUCUGGAAUUUCCGCAGGGGUUAACAAUUACGGAUAUUAAGCCUGAGACAACGAGUAUACAUAUAUUUUAUUUUUACACCGAAGCAUUCAAUUGUAUCGAAUCGUGAGCCACGAAUGGCGCGUACUCACGUGAACAACGUAAGUUUCAUGAUGCUGACACACACAGCUUGUCGUAGAAAUUGGUUCUGCGGAUGUCGUGCUCUCUUUUGACGACUGCGACGUGCGAGAAAGAAAAAACCACUUAUUUGUGGCCGAUUGUUACCACUGGCGCGAGAAAUGGAUAUUAGACGACAACAAAAUAGAAGAAACCGAAGAAGGAGCACACCACUGUAAUCGCGGAGGCUGUGUACUUUGGAGUGCCGAGUCAAGUUUCCCCUUCUCUCUAUAUAUAUGGCACUCUCACUCUGGUAGCAACCACCCGUGCACGGGUUUGCGAUAGCAUAUACGUGCGAUAGCAUAUAUAUAUGUCCGACAUAUCUUUAAUGACACUCGCACGUUCACCCCCUCACAUUGCGUGUGUAAUACACCGUAAAUACACGGAUUUAGGUUUCGCACAAACCUAAGGAGACAAGUCGAAGUGGCGCGUUACUCGCUUACUUUGUGAACCCGCUGGGUGAUCGAGUCGGUUAAAUGUAUUAGAUGAUUUGCAUACCAUAAGACAUUGCAUAACUAACAAUAUUAUAGUCUUUGUAAUUAAAAAUUGCAAUUUUUAUAAA
Molecule: non-coding RNA, 5989 nt
Organism: Nylanderia fulva
Lineage: Eukaryota; Metazoa; Arthropoda; Insecta; Hymenoptera; Formicidae
Source: RefSeq, a predicted model, not a curated record